RNAcentral lists this ribosomal RNA (714 nucleotides) under uncultured Staphylococcus sp. RNAcentral describes it as "bacterial SSU rRNA". It matches the Rfam family "Bacterial small subunit ribosomal RNA", at positions 41 to 737 of the family's 1533-position model. The record is from RNAcentral. Lineage: Bacteria; Bacillati; Bacillota; Bacilli; Caryophanales; Staphylococcaceae.
GGCGUGCCUAAUACAUGCAAGUCGAGCGAACAGACGAGGAGCUUGCUCCUCUGACGUUAGCGGCGGACGGGUGAGUAACACGUGGAUAACCUACCUAUAAGACUGGGAUAACUUCGGGAAACCGGAGCUAAUACCGGAUAAUAUAUUGAACCGCAUGGUUCAAUAGUGAAAGACGGUUUUGCUGUCACUUAUAGAUGGAUCCGCGCCGCAUUAGCUAGUUGGUAAGGUAACGGCUUACCAAGGCAACGAUGCGUAGCCGACCUGAGAGGGUGAUCGGCCACACUGGAACUGAGACACGGUCCAGACUCCUACGGGAGGCAGCAGUAGGGAAUCUUCCGCAAUGGGCGAAAGCCUGACGGAGCAACGCCGCGUGAGUGAUGAAGGUCUUCGGAUCGUAAAACUCUGUUAUUAGGGAAGAACAAAUGUGUAAGUAACUAUGCACGUCUUGACGGUACCUAAUCAGAAAGCCACGGCUAACUACGUGCCAGCAGCCGCGGUAAUACGUAGGUGGCAAGCGUUAUCCGGAAUUAUUGGGCGUAAAGCGCGCGUAGGCGGUUUUUUAAGUCUGAUGUGAAAGCCCACGGCUCAACCGUGGAGGGUCAUUGGAAACUGGAAAACUUGAGUGCAGAAGAGGAAAGUGGAAUUCCAUGUGUAGCGGUGAAAUGCGCAGAGAUAUGGAGGAACACCAGUGGCGAAGGCGACUUUCUGGUCUGU